This 104-nucleotide small nuclear RNA is filed under the name Castor canadensis (American beaver). The record is from RNAcentral. Lineage: Eukaryota; Metazoa; Chordata; Mammalia; Rodentia; Castoridae.
GUGCUGGCUUCCAUAGCACAUAUACUAAAAUUGACACAAUACAGAGAUUAGCAUGGCCCCUGCACAAGGAUGACACACAAAUUUGUGAUGCGUUCCAUAUUUAA